GACGAACGCUGGCGGCGUGCUUAACACAUGCAAGUCGAACGGAAAGGCCCUGCUUUUGUGGGGUGCUCGAGUGGCGAACGGGGGAGUAACACGUGAGUAACCUGCCCUUGACUUUGGGAUAACUUCAGGAAACUGGGGCUAAUACCGGAUAGGAGCUCCUGCUGCAUGGGGGGGGUUGGAAAGUUUCGGCGGUGUGGGAUGGACUCGAGGCUUAUCGGCUUGUUGGUGGGGUAGUGGCUUACCAAGGCUUUGACGGGUAGCCGGCCUGAGAGGGUGACCGGCCACAUUGGGACUGCGAUACGGCCCAGACUCCUACGGGCGGCAGCAGUGGGGAAUAUUGCACAAUGGGCGGAAGCCUGAUGCAGCAACGCCGCGUUCGGGAUGCCGGCCUUCGGGUUGUAAACCGCUUUCGCCUGUGACGAAGCGUGAGUGACGGUAAUGGGUAAAGAAGCACCGGCUAACUACGUG
Molecule: ribosomal RNA, 468 nt
Filed under: uncultured bacterium
Lineage: Bacteria
Description: partial 16S ribosomal RNA
Rfam family: Bacterial small subunit ribosomal RNA
Source: RNAcentral